AUUGAACGCUGGCGGCAUGCCUUACCCAUGCAAGUCGAACGGCAGCACGGGUGCUUGCACCUGGUGGCGAGUGGCGAACGGGUGAGUAAUACAUCGGAACGUACCUUAUCGUGGGGGAUAACGCAGCGAAAGCUGUGCUAAUACCGCAUACGCCCUGAGGGGGAAAGCGGGGGAUCGCAAGACCUCGCGCGAUUAGAGCGGCCGAUGCCUGAUUAGCUUGUUGGUGGGGUAAAAGCCCACCAAGGCGACGAUCAGUAGCUGGUCUGAGAGGACGAUCAGCCACACUGGGACUGAGACACGGCCCAGACUCCUACGGGAGGCAGCAGUGGGGAAUUUUGGACAGUGGGGGCAACCCUGAUCCAGCAAUGCCGCGUGAGUGAAGAAGGCCUUCGGGUUGUAAAGCUCUUUUGUCAGGGAAGAAACACCGGCUCUAACACAGUCCGGGAAUGACGGUACCUGAAGAAUAAGCACCGGCUAACUACGUGCCAGCAGCCGCCGUAA
Molecule: ribosomal RNA, 501 nt
Filed under: uncultured bacterium
Lineage: Bacteria
Description: partial 16S ribosomal RNA
Rfam family: Bacterial small subunit ribosomal RNA
Source: RNAcentral